AGAGUUUGAUCCUGGCUCAGGACGAACGCUGGCGGCGCGCCUAACACAUGCAAGUCGAACGAGCGAGAGAGAGUUUACUUUUUCGAGCGAGUGGCGAACGGGUGAGUAACGCGUGAGGAACCUGCCUCAAAGAGGGGGACAACAGUUGGAAACGACUGCUAAUACCGCAUAAGCCCACGACCCGGCAUCGGGUAGAGGGAAAAGGAGCAAUCCGCUUUGAGAUGGCCUCGCGUCCGAUUAGCUAGUUGGUGAGGUAAUGGCCCACCAAGGCGACGAUCGGUAGCCGGACUGAGAGGUUGAACGGCCACAUUGGGACUGAGACACGGCCCAGACUCCUACGGGAGGCAGCAGUGGGGAAUAUUGCACAAUGGGGGAAACCCUGAUGCAGCGACGCCGCGUGGAGGAAGAAGGUCUUCGGAUUGUAAACUCCUGUUGUUGAGGAAGAUAAUGACGGUACUCAACAAGGAAGUGACGGCUACUACGUGCCAGCAGCCGCGGU
This 499-nucleotide ribosomal RNA is filed under the name Fusobacterium sp. CB14. RNAcentral describes it as "bacterial SSU rRNA". It matches the Rfam family "Bacterial small subunit ribosomal RNA", at positions 8 to 521 of the family's 1533-position model. The record is from RNAcentral. Lineage: Bacteria; Fusobacteriati; Fusobacteriota; Fusobacteriia; Fusobacteriales; Fusobacteriaceae.